UGAAGGGCAAAGGGUCGGUUUUCAAUCGCCAAUCCGGUCAGGUUCGGAAGAAAGCAGCCGUAACGAUUAGUCGAGGCUUUUGUUCCUUCGCUCUU
RNAcentral lists this signal recognition particle RNA (95 nucleotides) under Alphaproteobacteria bacterium. RNAcentral describes it as "signal recognition particle sRNA small type". It matches the Rfam family "Bacterial small signal recognition particle RNA". From Rfam's summary of the family: The signal recognition particle (SRP) is a universally conserved ribonucleoprotein involved in the co-translational targeting of proteins to membranes. Archaeal SRP consists of a 7S RNA and homologues of the eukaryotic SRP19 and SRP54 proteins. The record is from RNAcentral. Lineage: Bacteria; Pseudomonadati; Pseudomonadota; Alphaproteobacteria.